GACGAACGCUGGCGGCGUGCUUAACACAUGCAAGUCGAACGGAAAGACCCUGCUUUUGUUGGUUUCUCGAUUGGCGAACAGGUGAGUAACACGUGAGUAACCUGCCCUUGUCUUUCUGAUAUCUUCUUGAGACUCGGGCUCAUACCGCAUAGGAUCUCCUGCUGCAUGUUGUUCGUUGGAAAGUUUCGGCUGUUGUGGAUGGACUCGAUGCUUAUCAGCUUGUUUGUGUGGUAGUGGCGUACCAAGGCUUUGACGGGUAGCCGGCCUGAGCGGGUUAACGGCCACAUUGGGACUGAGAUACGGAGCAGAAGGGUACGGGAGGCAGCAGUGGGGAAUAUUGCACAAUGGGCGGAAGCCUGAGGCAGAAACGCCGCGUGCGGGAUGACGGCUUUCGGGUUGUAAACAGAUUUCGAAUGUGACGAAGAGGGAGUGACGGUAAUGGGUAAAGAAGCAACGGCUAACUACGUG
RNAcentral lists this ribosomal RNA (468 nucleotides) under uncultured bacterium. RNAcentral describes it as "partial 16S ribosomal RNA". It matches the Rfam family "Bacterial small subunit ribosomal RNA", at positions 28 to 507 of the family's 1533-position model. The record is from RNAcentral.